CAGAAACUACAAAGGAAUUGACGGGACCCCGCACAAGCGGUGGAUCAUGUUGUUUAAUUCGAUGAUACGCGAAGAACCUUACCAGGUCUUGACAUCCCCCGCGAUGCUUUAGAGAUAAAGCGGAGGUAUUCGGGGAGACAGGUGGUGCAUGGUUGUCGUCAGCUCGUGUCGUGAGAUGUUGGGUUAAGUCCCGCAACGAGCGCAACCCCUAUUGCUAGUUACCAUCAUUAAGUUGGGGACUCUAGCGAGACUGCCAGUGAUAAACUGGAGGAAGGUGGGGAUGACGUCAAAUCAUCAUGCCCCUUAUGACCUGGGCUACAAACGUGAUACAAUGGCUGGAACAAAGGGAUGCGAAGCAGUGAUGUGGAGCGAAACCCAUAAAAACAGUCUCAGUUCGGAUUGAAGUCUGCAACUCGACUUCAUGAAGUCGGAAUCGCUAGUAAUCGCGGAUCAGAACGCCGCGGUGAAUACGUUCUCGGGGUUU
RNAcentral lists this ribosomal RNA (484 nucleotides) under uncultured Acholeplasma sp. Its description in RNAcentral is "bacterial SSU rRNA". It matches the Rfam family "Bacterial small subunit ribosomal RNA", at positions 894 to 1382 of the family's 1533-position model. The record is from RNAcentral. Lineage: Bacteria; Bacillati; Mycoplasmatota; Mollicutes; Acholeplasmatales; Acholeplasmataceae.